This is a long non-coding RNA of Anneissia japonica, 198 nucleotides long. RefSeq lists it as uncharacterized. Lineage: Eukaryota; Metazoa; Echinodermata; Crinoidea; Comatulida; Comatulidae. The transcript is spliced from 3 exons. The record is from RefSeq and is a predicted model, not a curated record.
AAGAAGAGAAAGAGAGCACAAGAGAAAUUGGCUGCUGCAUCUCUAAGCAUUGGUGUUGGAAGCUUUUCUGAUCCAUCGGAUAUCCCUGGAUUAGCUCACUUUCUUGAACAUAUGGUGUUUAUGGGCAGUAGCAAAUACCCUGAUGAGAACUCAUUUGAUGCUUUUGUAAUGCGUCACGGCGGAAACAACAAUGCAUCU